UUUAAAAAGUUUGGCCAGCAGAAGGUUGGUUGAAGGUUGGCAACCAACCUUCUGCCUAACUGGAGAGCCGUGUCACAUUAUCUCUCAUUCCCUCUCCUAUAAAUAGGAAAGGAUGCUUCACAGUUCAGUGUACCAACAAUAAGUGAGAGACAUUAGAGAGUCACAGAUAUAAUAAAAAAGCCGGCAGACUUGUUUACUUGCCUUGUCACCCAAGACACAGAAACAUUACUGGUGAAGCCCAUAACAUGUUGCAAUUUUUUUAACACACUAAAAGCAGAGUCAUCAUAUGAGUGCUUUUUCCAUAAUUAAUUUCCACUAAAAAAGAUUUUAUACAAUUUUUUUAUAUUUUAAAUAACAAGAAUAUUUUAAUGUAAUUUACUUGUAAAUCGUAGUGGGUUCUUCACGAUUGGAAUGACGAUGAAUGUAUCAAUAUCUUGAAGAAGUGCAAGGAAGCUAUUCCGAAUGAAAUUGGGAAGCUGAUAAUUGUUGAAGCUGUGGUCGAUGAAGCAAAAGACGACAAGCUUGAGUUCGUUAGGUUGGCAUUGGACAUGGUGAUGAUGGCUCAUACUGAUACAGGUAAAGAGAGGACCUCUGAGGAAUGGGAAUAUGUUCUUAAGCAGGCUGGUUUUAGCCGACAUACUAUAAAAUCCAUUGCAGCUGUUCAAUCUGUUAUUGAAGCUUUUCCUUGAAUAAAAAUGUAAUAAAUAAAUAUAUAAAAUAAAUUAUGUGGCA
Molecule: non-coding RNA, 732 nt
Organism: Jatropha curcas
Lineage: Eukaryota; Viridiplantae; Streptophyta; Magnoliopsida; Malpighiales; Euphorbiaceae
Source: RefSeq, a predicted model, not a curated record